This 690-nucleotide ribosomal RNA is filed under the name uncultured Bacteroidota bacterium. RNAcentral's name for it is "bacterial SSU rRNA". It matches the Rfam family "Bacterial small subunit ribosomal RNA", at positions 83 to 771 of the family's 1533-position model. Lineage: Bacteria; Pseudomonadati; Bacteroidota. The record is from RNAcentral.
CAAUAUAUGAGACCGGCGCACGGGUGCGUAACGCGUAUGCAACCUACCUUUUACAGGGGGAUAGCCCAGAGAAAUUUGGAUUAAUACCCCAUGGUAUAUUUUAGUGGCAUCACUAGAUUAUUAAAGUUCCAACGGUAAAAGAUGGGCAUGCGUCCUAUUAGCUAGAUGGUAAGGUAACGGCUUACCAUGGCUACGAUAGGUAGGGGUCCUGAGAGGGAGAUCCCCCACACUGGUACUGAGACACGGACCAGACUCCUACGGGAGGCAGCAGUGAGGAAUAUUGGACAAUGGGCGCAAGCCUGAUCCAGCCAUGCCGCGUGCAGGAAGAAGCAUCUAUGGUGUGUAAACUGCUUUUGUACAGGAAGAAACACUCCCUCGUGAGGGAGCUUGACGGUACUGUAAGAAUAAGGAUCGGCUAACUCCGUGCCAGCAGCCGCGGUAAUACGGAGGAUCCAAGCGUUAUCCGGAAUCAUUGGGUUUAAAGGGUCCGUAGGCGGUUUGGUAAGUCAGUGGUGAAAGCCCAUCGCUCAACGGUGGAACGGCCGUUGAUACUGCCAGACUUGAAUUACUGGGAAGUAACUAGAAUAUGUAGUGUAGCGGUGAAAUGCUUAGAGAUUACAUGGAAUACCAAUUGCGAAGGCAGGUUACUACCAGUGGAUUGACGCUGAUGGACGAAAGCGUGGGGAGCGA